GUGUGCUCUGCUGCACAGCCACGGUAGUGUGAGCUGAGUGAUGCUCGCUGGCUGUCUCUCUCUCUUUCUCUCUCUCUCUCUCUCCCCUGUGCUGUGCCUCUUUCUGCCGAGCAUUGAUGAACCAUUUUAUGCUACAGAGCUGCCAUAGCCAUCGCACCGGUCCUGCUGCUGGCUGCUUUUUUGCCCUUCCAUUGUAGGAGGAAACAACUGCCACUGCAUUGGUCCUCUCUCUCCAGUGCUGCUAAGGAUCCUUUUGCUGCUGCUGCUGCUGUUGCUGUUACUGCCGCUGCUGCUGCUGCUGCUGCUGGGGAGAUAAGGAUGAUCAUCAUAACAUGUCUUAGCGUCUCAGACUCUUAGCGGCUACGGUAUGGAUGUUUCUGCUGCCUCCCAAGGUCACUCAUUUGAGGAGUUUCCAUAAUUAGGGCUGUCAGUCUGGACCCCACACCACAAUAUGAGCGAGUACUCUGGCGACAAACUCCAUUCAUGCCGUGGCUCCUCCUGCCCACCUUGACAAGCAGACGCGGCCAUUCAUCAUUUCGCUGGUUAUCCCUGAG
Acanthopagrus latus (yellowfin seabream) is the source of this 554-nucleotide long non-coding RNA. RefSeq lists it as uncharacterized. NCBI's taxonomy places the organism in Eukaryota, Metazoa, Chordata, Actinopteri, Spariformes, Sparidae. The record is from RefSeq and is a predicted model, not a curated record. The transcript is spliced from 3 exons.